This 787-nucleotide ribosomal RNA is filed under the name uncultured bacterium. RNAcentral's name for it is "bacterial SSU rRNA". It matches the Rfam family "Bacterial small subunit ribosomal RNA", at positions 8 to 796 of the family's 1533-position model. The record is from RNAcentral.
AGAGUUUGAUCCUGGCUCAGGACGAACGCUGGCGGCGUGCUUAACACAUGCAAGUCGAACGGAAAGGCCCUUUCGGGGGUACUCGAGUGGCGAACGGGUGAGUAACACGUGGGUGAUCUGCCCUGCACUUCGGGAUAAGCUUGGGAAACUGGGUCUAAUACCGGAUAGGACCGUGCCAUGCAUGUGGUGUGGUGGAAAGCUUUUGCGGUGUGGGAUGGGCCCGCGGCCUAUCAGCUUGUUGGUGGGGUGAUGGCCUACCAAGGCGACGACGGGUAGCCGGCCUGAGAGGGUGUCCGGCCACACUGGGACUGAGAUACGGCCCAGACUCCUACGGGAGGCAGCAGUGGGGAAUACUGCACAAUGGGCGCAAGCCUGAUGCAGCGACGCCGCGUGGGGGAUGACGGCCUUCGGGUUGUAAACCUCUUUCACCAUCGGUGAAGCCCAUGAUUUUUGUUGUGGGUGACGGUAGGUGGAGAAGAAGCACCGGCCAACUACGUGCCAGCAGCCGCGGUAAUACGUAGGGUGCGAGCGUUGUCCGGAAUUACUGGGCGUAAAGAGCUCGUAGGUGGUUUGUCGCGUUGUCCGUGAAAUUCCCUGGCUUAACUGGGGGCGUGCGGGCGAUACGGGCAGACUGGAGUACUGCAGGGGAGACUGGAAUUCCUGGUGUAGCGGUGGAAUGCGCAGAUAUCAGGAGGAACACCGGUGGCGAAGGCGGGUCUCUGGGCAGUAACUGACGCUGAGGAGCGAAAGCGUGGGGAGCGAACAGGAUUAGAUACCCUGGUAGUCC